Non-coding RNA from Marasmius oreades (fairy-ring Marasmius), 81 nucleotides. NCBI's taxonomy places the organism in Eukaryota, Fungi, Basidiomycota, Agaricomycetes, Agaricales, Marasmiaceae. The record is from the annotation of a RefSeq genome assembly.
UCCCUGGUAGUAUAUCGGUUAGUACACGCGCCUGUCAUGCUGAAGACGCGCGAAAGCUGGGUUCGACUCCCAGCCAGGGAG